RNAcentral lists this ribosomal RNA (497 nucleotides) under uncultured bacterium. RNAcentral describes it as "partial 16S ribosomal RNA". It matches the Rfam family "Bacterial small subunit ribosomal RNA", at positions 28 to 507 of the family's 1533-position model. The record is from RNAcentral.
GAUGAACGCUGGCGGCGUGCCUAAUACAUGCAAGUCGAGCGAACGGACGAGAAGCUUGCUUCUCUGAUGUUAGCGGCGGACGGGUGAGUAACACGUGGAUAACCUACCUAUAAGACUGGGAUAACUUCGGGAAACCGUAGCUAAUACCGGAUAAUAUUUUGAACCGCAUGGUUCAAAAGUGAAAGACGGUCUUGCUGUCACUUAUAGAUGGAUCCGCGCUGCAUUAGCUAGUUGGUAAGGUAACGGCUUACCAAGGCAACGAUGCAUAGCCGACCUGAGAGGGUGAUCGGCCACACUGGAACUGAGACGCGGUCAAGACUACUACGGGAGGCAGCAGUAGGGAAUCUUCCGCAAUGGGCGAAAGCCUGACGGAGCAACGCCGCGUGAGUGAUGAAGGUCUUCGGAUCGUAAAACUCUGUUAUGAGGGAAGAACAUAUGUGUAAGUAACUGUGCACAUCUUGACGGUACCUAAUGAGAAAGCAACGGCUAACUACGUG